UCCUACGGGAGGCAGCAGUAGGGAAUCUUCCGCAAUGGACGAAAGUCUGACGGAGCAACGCCGCGUGAGUGAUGAAGGUUUUCGGAUCGUAAAACUCUGUUGUUAGGGAAGAACAAGUAUCGGAGUAACUGCCGGUACCUUGACGGUACCUAACCAGAAAGCCACGGCUAACUACGUGCCAGCAGCCGCGGUAAUACGUAGGUGGCAAGCGUUGUCCGGAAUUAUUGGGCGUAAAGCGCGCGCGGGUGGUUCCUUAAGUCUGAUGUGAAAGCCCACGGCUCAACCGUGGAGGGUCAUUGGAAACUGGGGAACUUGAGUGCAGAGGAGGAAAGUGGAAUUCCAAGUGUAGCGGUGAAAUGCGUAGAGAUUUGGAGGAACACCAGUGGCGAAGGCGACUUUCUGGUCUGUAACUGACACUGAGGCGCGAAAGCGUGGGGAGCGAACAGGAUUAGAUACCCUGGUAGUCCACGCCGUAAACGAUGAGUGCUAAGUGUUAGAGGGUUUCCGCCCUUUAGUGCUGCAGCAAACGCAUUAAGCACUCCGCCUGGGGAGUACGACCGCAAGGUUGAAACUCAAAGGAAUUGACGGA
RNAcentral lists this ribosomal RNA (589 nucleotides) under uncultured bacterium. Its description in RNAcentral is "bacterial SSU rRNA". It matches the Rfam family "Bacterial small subunit ribosomal RNA", at positions 337 to 917 of the family's 1533-position model. The record is from RNAcentral.